GAGGAUAGAGCUCAGUGGUAGAGUGUGUGCUUAGCAUACACAAGGUCCUGGGUUCAAUCCCCAGUACCUCCA
RNAcentral lists this transfer RNA (72 nucleotides) under Camelus bactrianus (Bactrian camel). It matches the Rfam family "tRNA". From Rfam's summary of the family: Transfer RNA (tRNA) molecules are approximately 80 nucleotides in length. Their secondary structure includes four short double-helical elements and three loops (D, anti-codon, and T loops). RNAcentral also lists the same sequence under 2 other names. The record is from Rfam by way of RNAcentral. Lineage: Eukaryota; Metazoa; Chordata; Mammalia; Artiodactyla; Camelidae.